UAAACAUGUCGGCAAAGCUUUUUAGGUUUUUGGGUUCAGAAACAUUGUUCUUGACUUCUUGUUGCCGCUCCCUCCAUCUGCUAUUUCCCGUUCACUCCAUCCAGUCCCGACAACGAAGUCAACCAUAGCAAUCCGCGAAGUCGAUAUCUGCUAGUUCAGCUCGACCUCCUUCCUAUUUUUCUUCCUCUUUCUGCAUAUUCAAUCCGUCUCUCAGACCUUAAUACCCAGAAAUCAAUUAGAUCUGUCCGUCUCUCGCUUUGUGGCCUGCAUCUUGUCUAUCUCCACUGUCAAAACAGAGAUUGUUCACUGUUGAAGAAUUGGCUUUGUACAAUGGGACUGAUCAAAGUUUGCCAAUCUUGUUAGGAAUUCUCCGAUCGGUUUUUGACGUGACGAAAGGAAAGUCUCAUUACGGUGAGGGUGGGGGUUAUAAUCAUUUUUCUGGAAGAGCCAUAAUGUUGUAGAUUAUAAUGAAAAAGUGGUGGAUGGAUUUUACAACGUGUAUGGAAUUACCUCGAAUUCCUUUAGACAAGGGAAGAUGCCGUUGUUGGUGGAAUUUCAAGCUGUAUCAGUUUCAGAUAAUGUCGACUACGAUGUCAUAUUAGUUAACAGAAUGGGUGGUCCAGUUGGAGAUGCGGAUGAGAUUUUAAGAAGGUGGAAAAUAAGGAGGCAUGAGUUGCGGAGUUCAAUGAACAUGCACUAUCAUUCUUCCCCUCGGAAAAAUUGAUGUUGGACUUUCACGCCACCAGGCCCUUCUCUUUAAGGUACUAGCUGAUAAGAUAAAUUUUCCAUGUAUGUUGGUCAAAGGUAGCUACUACACGGGUACUGAUGAUGGAGCUGUAAACUUGAUUAAAAUUGAUAGUGGAAUUGGAAGGUAAUGUCCUCUAACUCUUGAUCUCUCUUUAUGCAUAAUUUUCUGGUGAAACUGAUUCGUUAAGUUUUCUGUUUUACAUGUAUUCUCUGCAUUAAUGUUCAUUUGAUGCCCAUCUAGUUUUAAGCUGUUAGGAUUUGAAUUUACGAUCAUGUUUAAAUGAGGAUAAUAGAAUCAAAGGUACAUGCAAUUUGUUUUUGCCUUGCUAGUACAAUUCCAUUCACAUGUGCAUCAGAUUAAGGUGGUUGAUGCAUGCUUUAAAAUUUUCUGAAACUGUUAUUGAUCUAAGUGAAUGUGUUUGCCAUACCAUGUAGUGAAUAUAUUAUUGAUCUGAUGAGUGCUCCUGGAACACUAAUUCCUGCUGAGGUACCUAGCUACUAGUCAGCUCCCAAAUUCUUUUUUUGCCAUAAGGAGCUUUCAAGAUCCCACAGAAAUGUCUACGGAGAUGCCCAAAGAUCUGUGUUUACUACAAGCUGAAUGAAAACAAAAAGUCUAGAAUUAUGAGAUUGAUGAGUAGUUCAUUUCAUAUCUAACUGCCUCUAGUGACAAACUCGUACUGCAUCAUAUCUAAUUAUCUUCCUUGUUAGUUCAAUUUUGUUAGUUUGGAAUGAAGAAAGUGAUGGAAUUGGACUGGUUUGAAAGACUUGCUUGCUAUAUUCAUCUGACUAUGUGAUUGUGUCAUGUAGAUGUGGUUCAUGAUGUGUCUCAGCAUAUGGAAGAGGUGAGCCAUAAUAUUUUUAUAGGAAUUGAGUUACCAGAAACAACUUGCAUGGGCCUCUUUACCAUUAACUUUUUUGGGACAUAUUGUGCUCGGAGCAUUAGACCCAAAUGGUAGAUAAUUGAAUGUAAUUUGAAUUAUGCUGAUUUCAUUAUGCAAGAUGGUCUGGUAAUUUAUUUGGGUUGUUUUUCUCAAAUUCCUUUUAGAUUAAUAGGGAUGGCUUAAUUAUUGUCGUACCUAUAGCUUUGUAGUUGCUUCUACAUUUGCAAGGAAAAAAUUAUUUUUGGAAAGAAGUUUCUGAAGAAGAAUGAUACUGUAGGUCAUCAUAAUUUUUUUAUUUUAUUCUUACUGCCAAUAAACCUUGCCUUAAGAAUAACGAUGACUGAGAUAAGAAGAAUAAAGUUUUGCCUUUUUUCUUGGAUUUCUUUUUCAUGCAACUGAUGUGUUGUUGUUACUGGUCUCCAGCUUUUUGGUCUUUAAUGCCUCCUUAUCAAGGUGGAAUAUAUGCCCCAGUUGAGCUUUCGUCUUCUUUGUCAUUCUUGUCAGUUCAUGUCACUAUAUUUGAACAACAUUUAUCUUGCUUAUAGUACAACUAGUGUAUGUACAAUGCCUUUUAUAUUUCUCUAUUGUACUUAUGUAAUCUCUCAUGUCAGAUACCUUACUUGUCAGAUUAUCAAACUAGCUAGUUAAUUAAGUGCUUAAUCUAAAGAUUAUCUGAUUAUGUAUAUUCCAAGGUUGAGAACAUAUAUUUUUUCUUGUCUGGACAUUAUUCCGCCAUGUUAAAAGAAAAACCUUAGUUAUGACUCUUCAGUAUAUCUUGAUGUUUUUGAUUUUGAUGAAGAGACUUAGCCAAUUUGGUUUUUCCAUACAUAUGACUUUGCCUGAAUUAUUUUUUAUUGUUUUUGGUUAUAGGUUCUUUGCAUUAUAAUCUCGUUGUUCGAUCUGUGUCAUUUGUCUUCCUCUUAUCAUAAGCUCUAUCUACUGGUUUUGAUUCCAGGUUCAAGAUGCAACCAGUGGCCAUGAAAUUAGAAGGGAGUCCAUAGGAGAAGGAGUUCAUCCACAUUCAACUAGUGAUCAAGAAAUUGAGCAUGCUCCAGUACUCACCAAGCCCCUCUAGUUAAUGAUAAAUAGUAUUGUGGUCAAGGAUGCUUUUGAACAAUAUUAAGUUUGGCAACUUUUCCUUUCAGUUAUCUAGUAUGGUAGGACAUUAUAAUUAUGAAAGACUGUAGUUUGAUUAAUUUCAGUUUGUACUUGGUAGUGGAAUAUAACUUGGCACUUAUCUUUUGAUUAUAUAAUUUCAGUUGUGAGAUAGCUAUGAUUGAAAGGAUUAUUUUGGUGCUUUAUAUUA
Molecule: long non-coding RNA, 2934 nt
Organism: Rosa rugosa (rugosa rose)
Lineage: Eukaryota; Viridiplantae; Streptophyta; Magnoliopsida; Rosales; Rosaceae
Exons: 7
Source: RefSeq, a predicted model, not a curated record